GGGCUCGUAGCUCAGCUUGGUAGAGCAUCUGACUCUUAAUCAGGUGGUCGGGGGUCCAAAUCCCCUCGAGCCCG
Molecule: transfer RNA, 74 nt
Filed under: Candidatus Woesearchaeota archaeon
Lineage: Archaea; Nanobdellati; Candidatus Woesearchaeota
Description: tRNA-Lys
Rfam family: tRNA
About the family: Transfer RNA (tRNA) molecules are approximately 80 nucleotides in length.
Source: RNAcentral